Molecule: ribosomal RNA, 432 nt
Filed under: uncultured bacterium
Lineage: Bacteria
Description: partial 16S ribosomal RNA
Rfam family: Bacterial small subunit ribosomal RNA
Source: RNAcentral
ACGAACGCUGGCCGCAUGCCUAACACCUUCAAGUCGAACGAGACCUUCGGGUCUAGUGGCGCACGGGUGCGUAACGCGUGGGAACCUGCCCUUAGGUUCGGAAUAACUCCCCGAAAGGGGUGCUAAUACCGGAUAAUGUCUUCGGACCAAAGAUUUAUCGCCUUUGGAUGGGCCCGCGUUGGAUUAGCUAGUUGGUAGGGUAAAAGCCUACCAAGGCGACGAUCCAUAGCUGGUCUGAGAGGAUGAUCAGCCACACUGGGACUGAGACACGGCCCAGACUCCUACGGGAGGCAGCAGUGGGGAAUAUUGGACAAUGGGCGAAAGCCUGAUCCAGCUAUGCCGCGUGAGUGAUGAAGGCCUUAGGGUUGUAAAGCUCUUUUACCCGGGAUGAUAAUGACAGUACCGGGAGAAUAAGCUCCGGCUAACUCCGUG